RNAcentral lists this ribosomal RNA (301 nucleotides) under uncultured bacterium. RNAcentral describes it as "partial 16S ribosomal RNA". It matches the Rfam family "Bacterial small subunit ribosomal RNA", at positions 509 to 807 of the family's 1533-position model. The record is from RNAcentral.
CAGCCGCCGCGGGAAUACGUAGGUGGCAAGCGUUGUCCGGAAUUAUUGGGCGUAAAGCGCGCGCAGGUGGUUUAAUAAGUCUGAUGUGAAAGCCCACGGCUCAACCGUGGAGGGUCAUUGGAAACUGUUAAACUUGAGUGCAGGAGAGAAAAGUGGAAUUCCUAGUGUAGCGGUGAAAUGCGUAGAGAUUAGGAGGAACACCAGUGGCGAAGGCGGCUUUUUGGCCUGUAACUGACACUGAGGCGCGAAAGCGUGGGGAGCAAACAGGAUUAGAUACCCGAGUAGUCCCUGUCUCUUAUAC